RNAcentral lists this ribosomal RNA (253 nucleotides) under uncultured bacterium. Its description in RNAcentral is "partial 16S ribosomal RNA". It matches the Rfam family "Bacterial small subunit ribosomal RNA", at positions 524 to 776 of the family's 1533-position model. The record is from RNAcentral.
UACGUAGGGGGCAAGCGUUGUCCGGAUUUAUUGGGCGUAAAGAGCGUGUAGGCGGCCUGACAGGUCUGCUGUGAAAACUCGAGGCUCAACCUCGAGAUGUCGGCGGAAACCGUCUGGCUAGAGUCCGGAAGAGGCGAGUGGAAUUCCCGGUGUAGCGGUGAAAUGCGCAGAUAUCGGGAGGAACACCAAUGGCGAAGGCAGCUCGCUGGGACGGUACUGACGCUGAGGCGCGAAAGCGUGGGGAGCAAACAGG